GCCAGAAGACAUCGUGGGGGAGGGCUGUGAGCAAUAGGAGCCUUAUGCUUGCGGCUGCUACAGGAGGAGGGCGAUCAGGUGCUCCCCAGAGAGCCUUCCAAGAUGCUCUCAAAAUCAUAGCCUGCCCCAUUGCCUCAUCCUGCUAAUCGGACCCUAAAACAAGGUAUGGCUUGCCUUUGAGAAAUCUGCUUGACCUGAAACAGUAGGUGAUAUACCUAGAGUCCACAAAUCUUCUCCCAGAGUUCUAUUUCCUGGGCAUCUCUCUACCUAACUCAGGAUUUCUUCUCUUCUGGCUAAGAACAGAUGUGCUAUCCAAAGCUGACAUUACUCUUGAAGAACAGAGGAAGCAACUACAAGCUCUCCAUUCCCUCCCAACCCAUCUGUUGCCUUCCAAGGAAAAUUUACCCGGGCAGGCUCCCAGGUUAUGCAAUUAUACAUGGACUUCCCUGGUGGCGCCGUGGUUAAGAAUCCGCCUGCCAAUGCAGGGGACACAGGUUCGAGCCCUGGUCCAGGAAGAUCACACAUGCUGCAGAGCAACUAAGCCCGUGCGCCACAACUACUGAGCCUGCGCUCUAGAGCCUGCGAGCCACAACUACUGAGCCUGCACACCACAACUAUUGAAGCCCGUGCACCUGGAGCCCGUGCUCCACAACAAGAGAAGCCACCGCAAUCAGA
Orcinus orca (killer whale) is the source of this 675-nucleotide long non-coding RNA. RefSeq lists it as uncharacterized. The record is from RefSeq and is a predicted model, not a curated record. The transcript has 3 exons. Lineage: Eukaryota; Metazoa; Chordata; Mammalia; Artiodactyla; Delphinidae.